AUGGGGAAUCCGCGUGGCGGCCUCGACGAGCAGAUCGAGCAGCUCCUGCAGUGCAAGCCACUCGUCGAGCCCGAGUUGAAAGCACUGUGUGAGAAAGCUAAAGAGAUUUUGAUGGAGGAGAGCAAUGUUCAGCCUGUGAGAAGCCCUGUCACGAUAUGUGGUGAUAUUCAUGGUCAGUUUCAUGAUCUUGCGGAAUUAUUCAGAAUUGGUGGGAAGUGUCCUGAUACAAACUACCUAUUUAUGGGAGAUUAUGUGGACCGUGGUUACUAUUCUGUUGAAACUGUAUCGCUUCUGGUAGCUUUGAAAGUUCGUUAUCCGCAUCGGCUUACAAUUCUUAGAGGAAACCACGAGAGCCGGCAGAUCACUCAAGUUUAUGGAUUUUAUGAUGAGUGCCUACGGAAGUAUGGGAGUGCUAAUGUAUGGAAAACCUUCACGGAUCUUUUUGACUAUUUACCGUUGACAGCAUUGGUUGAGUCGGAAAUAUUUUGCCUGCAUGGUGGACUAUCACCAUCCAUCGAGACACUUGAUAAUGUCCGUAGCUUUGACCGUAUCCAAGAAGUCCCUCACGAGGGGCCAAUGUGUGACCUUCUAUGGUCUGAUCCUGAUGAUCGAUGUGGUUGGGGCAUUUCACCGCGUGGUGCCGGAUACACAUUUGGCCAGGAUAUUUCAGAACAGUUUAACCAUACCAAUAGCCUUAAGCUAAUAGCAAGAGCUCAUCAGUUAGUUAUGGAGGGAUUCAACUGGGCACAUGAGCAAAAGGUUGUGACAAUAUUUAGUGCACCUAACUACUGUUACCGGUGCGGUAACAUGGCCUCGAUCUUGGAGGUGGAUGACUGCAGGGAGCAUACUUUCAUCCAGUUGAGCCUGCCCCAAGGAGAGGGGAGCCUGACGUGA
RNAcentral lists this ribosomal RNA (894 nucleotides) under Triticum aestivum (bread wheat). RNAcentral's name for it is "partial small subunit ribosomal RNA". The record is from RNAcentral. Lineage: Eukaryota; Viridiplantae; Streptophyta; Magnoliopsida; Poales; Poaceae.